AUGGUGGACUUCAAUGAUAUGGAGAGCGAGGUCAAGGUGAUGCUUGCAUCGACCAAGCCCUACAAUCUACUUGGAAGAUGGGGCAGCCCCAUUGAGAACAGGCUGGAUGCCUCAGACCUAAGCGGUCUGCUGGCAUGCCUUGAUAGUAUGUCUUUGAAUUUUUUGCUUUUUGGAUGUUGUCUUGAAGAAGAGGCGGCACGGUCAGCUAACGAGUUAAAGCAGUUUCUUGAACCAUUGGACUUCAUCAUGGAACAGCCGAGGAAACAGUUCAACUGGACUAGACGCAACGGGCUCCUGUAUAUGAGUGGAAGUGUCUCCGUUAAAACUCGCAUGGCCUUGAUGGUGGACUUCAAUGAUUUGAAGAGCGAGGUCAAGGUGAUGCUUGCAUCUACCAAGGUGCAUGGAGAAGAAGGAACACAAGAGAAGGGCAAAUAUGAUAUACAAGAGAAGAAGAAGCAAAUGUCCAAAUUGUUGUUUUCAAGUGAGCCACAGCCCGCGGAGUGA
RNAcentral lists this ribosomal RNA (504 nucleotides) under Triticum aestivum (bread wheat). RNAcentral describes it as "partial small subunit ribosomal RNA". The record is from RNAcentral. Lineage: Eukaryota; Viridiplantae; Streptophyta; Magnoliopsida; Poales; Poaceae.